AUCAAAUGAAGGCACAUCUGAGUCAUCCUGAGCUUUUGUUCACCAGCUCGCAUAGGAUUGUAUCAGAACACAACUGCCUUAAAGAUUGGCUCAAUUUUCAGUAAUCCUGCAUUUGUUGAUGAGGAGAAGAAUCUCUGUUGGGGAAGAUGUUGCAUCCUGCAGCUACCGAACUGAAAUAAAUAAGGAACCAGACUUCUAUUCCAUGAGGGAACUAGAAUGGAAAAAAUAUUGAAAACAAUUUUACUCCUGAAGAGAAGUUUUUUUUCUAUCAGAGGCUCAAUAGACAUUUGGAUCCUGUUUUGGAACUUACCAUAGGAGGAAUUAUUACUGAGAGCUUCAGAGAACUAUUAAAUCACAAGAGCUUCAGGAAAAAAUAGAAAAGAAAAAGAAAAAAAGAAGUCUAAGAACCCAAACAAUCCAUCAAAAUGGAGAAGAGUACUGUAUUCUGUCCUUCUGCAAAAAGACCAUGUGCAUCUUUACUGAAAUUCAUACAAAAACACCAUCAGAGAUAUCCCUACUUCAUCUAACAGGUCUCUGGGACUCAGUCAUUUCUAAAGCAUUUUUGGAUUGUUUUCUUUAAUAUAGUGCAAAGGUUUUUUGUUUUGUUAGAAGAUAUAAGACAAAGCUUUCACUUGUGAGUUGCAUCUGGAUGAAACAAGUCAUGAUAUGUUUAAAUAAAUAAACAAAUGAAGACUUAUCUGCUGAUAUAAUGACAUUUGUCAAGGUGCACAUUUGACUUCUAACAGAUUUUUUGAACUUUUCUUAAAUUUCAACUACAGCACAUACUGCACACACUUCAUUUUUUUUCAACAUUAAACCUCAUAGAAGCUUGGGAAGAAGUAAUGCUAUGUAAUGCACAGGAGGUUGUAGUGCAUGACACAUUUGCUUUUUCAAUUUCUUAUGGUGGAUGUUUUUGUAAAACCUUUGAACUGCAACUUCAUUCUAAUAAGAGGAAAAAUAUCCUGUUUAAUCAAUAAGACAUGGUAGUGGAUAAGCGCAUAUUCAUGAUCAAAGCUGCUUGUUCUAAGUGAACAUCUUCUGGUACUGUUCAAAUAAUGCAAAGUCUGAACAGAAGAAUGAAAUUUUAUUAUAAAAUAGUACUUUUUGUUUAAAAAAAUUACAUAAUGUUAAUUAAAAGAACAGGUUAAUAAGAUUGAGUGUUGAAUCCUGGUGUUUUACACUCUAGUCAACUAGAUCAUGAGUUUUUUCAGUCAUUCUUUAUUGUGCAGACUAAAUGACUAUAUAAUGUUGAUUUUUCCCACCAUUUUACCAGAAAAACAGAAACAGCAGUAAAAAGAAAAUUAAAUAAUUGUCAAAAUAAUAAAUAGGACCAUUUACUUUCCAACCCUAAUAAUUAAAAAAAACCCAAAAAAGUAACUGGAUUACAUGACACAAGGAACACUGCCCAAACAAUAAAUGUUACUGCUGAUGAAAGAUUUGCUUCUGCAUUUCUUGCAAAUGUUUAAACGUUGCUAGAUAUUUUGGGUUUCUGCUGAAUAUGAACUACUAAAUGCUGAGGCAAGAAUGUACAGAAAUGCUGUCUUAUCUUUGUGCAUGAGGGUGCCGAAAUGUUUCCAUCUUCUUGGUGUGUAUUUGCGUGUCUACACCAGCUGUGUGACAAAUCCCUCUGGAACAAAACUAAAGAUGACUGUUGAGGACUAUCUCCAACUUUCUGUUUAAAUGUAGGAGUUGGAAAGAGAAUUAGAUGGGAGCAAAGAUAAAACUGGGAUCCCAGCAAUCCAUCUCUCUGGAAGUGUAUUUCGAAGCGGAAGCUGAAGGUACAAUAAGUACUACUAGAACAGGGAGAGUAUCACAGGAAUUUUUGAUGUUUAGAAAUUAUUGCUUAGAUAUAUUUUGUGAAUGGGGACAAAUAUACUUUCUCUAUGUGUGAAUAAUCAUAGGAACAGCAGGAACUUUAGGAACUGAAAAACAACAACAACAAAAAAAAGAGGGGUGUACCACCAAAUAGACUGUUAGAAACAUUUACUUAUCUGCUUUCAAGAGAAGAACAGCUCUCCUCUACCACAAACAUACAAAUGUCUUAGAGAGAUGUUCUUCCACUUGCUUAAGAUUAUUUUUCUGAGUUAUUAAAGGAUAUAACUCAGGCUUUAAUUAGGCAAGGUAGAGCAUUUUUCUCUGGGGAUACGUUCUUAGAAUGCACAUCUGACAAAGGUAACUGUCUUCUCAGUGUCCUCAAACAUAGGUAGCAGAAGAGACAUGUUUGGGACAUGGAUGUGAGUUAAUCAGUGAUGGAGAAGAAGUGAUCAUAAUGCUACAGACCUGAUUCUCUGGAAGCCUUGAAGUAAACUUGUCUCUCUUUAUCUUACCUUUCACAGUGUAUGUCUAAUUUGA
This is a long non-coding RNA of Gallus gallus (chicken), 2352 nucleotides long. RefSeq lists it as uncharacterized. Lineage: Eukaryota; Metazoa; Chordata; Aves; Galliformes; Phasianidae. The transcript is spliced from 3 exons. The record is from RefSeq and is a predicted model, not a curated record.